This 168-nucleotide ribosomal RNA is filed under the name uncultured bacterium. RNAcentral's name for it is "partial 16S rRNA". It matches the Rfam family "Bacterial small subunit ribosomal RNA", at positions 352 to 511 of the family's 1533-position model. The record is from RNAcentral.
CAGUAGGGAAUCUUCCACAAUGGGCGAAAGCCUGAUGGAGCAACGCCGCGUGUGUGAUGAAGGGUUUCGGCUCGUAAAAACACUGUUGUAAGAGGAGAAUGACAUUGAGAGUAACUGUUCAAUGUGUGACGGUAUCUUACCAGAAAGGAACGGCUAAAUACGCGCCAG